This 253-nucleotide ribosomal RNA is filed under the name uncultured bacterium. Its description in RNAcentral is "partial 16S ribosomal RNA". It matches the Rfam family "Bacterial small subunit ribosomal RNA", at positions 524 to 776 of the family's 1533-position model. The record is from RNAcentral.
UACGUAGGGGGCAAGCGUUAUCCGGAUUUACUGGGUGUAAAGGGAGCGUAGACGGUAAAGCAAGUCUGAAGUGAAAUGCCAGUGCUCAACACUGGAACUGCUUUGGAAACUGUUUGGCUGGAGUGCAGGAGAGGUAAGUGGAAUUCCUAGUGUAGCGGUGAAAUGCGUUGAUAUUAGGAGGAACACCAGUGGCGAAGGCGGCUUACUGGACUGUAACUGACGUUGAGGCUCGAAAGCGUGGGGAGCAAACAGG